Molecule: ribosomal RNA, 277 nt
Filed under: uncultured bacterium
Lineage: Bacteria
Description: partial 16S ribosomal RNA
Rfam family: Bacterial small subunit ribosomal RNA
Source: RNAcentral
GAUCAACGCUGGCGGCGUGCCUUACGCAUGCAAGUCGAACGGUGCCCGGUUUCGGCCGGGGGCAGUGGCGAACGGGUGAGUAACACGUGCGUGACCUGCCGUCCCGUGGGGGAUACCCCGCCGAAAGGCGGGUCAAUCCCGCAUCCGCUCCCCGGGGCUGCCCGGGGAGGAAAGGCCCGUUGGGUCGCGGGGCGAGGGGCGCGCGGCCGAUUAGCUGGUUGGCGGGGUAAAGGCCCACCAAGGCGAUGAUCGGUAGCUGGGCUGAGAGGCUGGCCAG